UACGGAGGAUGCGAGCGUUAUCCGGAUUUAUUGGGUUUAAAGGGUGCGUAGGCGGGUUAUCAAGUCAGCGGUAAGAUCGUGGAGCUCAACUCCAUCCAGCCGUUGAAACUGAUGAUCUUGAGUGGGCGAGAAGUAUGCGGAAUGCGUGGUGUAGCGGUGAAAUGCAUAGAUAUCACGCAGAACUCCGAUUGCGAAGGCAGCAUACCGGCGCCCGACUGACGCUGAAGCACGAAAGCGUGGGUAUCGAACAGG
This 252-nucleotide ribosomal RNA is filed under the name uncultured bacterium. RNAcentral describes it as "partial 16S ribosomal RNA". It matches the Rfam family "Bacterial small subunit ribosomal RNA", at positions 524 to 776 of the family's 1533-position model. The record is from RNAcentral.